Molecule: ribosomal RNA, 279 nt
Filed under: uncultured bacterium
Lineage: Bacteria
Description: partial 16S ribosomal RNA
Rfam family: Bacterial small subunit ribosomal RNA
Source: RNAcentral
UGCCAGCCGCCGCGGUAAUACGUAGGGUGCGAGCGUUAAUCGGAAUUACUGGGCGUAAAGCGUGUGUAGGCGGCUACACAAGUCAGAUGUGAAAGCCCCGGGCUCAACCUGGGAACUGCGUUUGAAACUGUGUAGCUUGAGUUCGGCAGGGGAAGAUGGAAUUCCGUGUGUAGCAGUGAAAUGCGUAGAUACACGGAAGAACACUAAUAGCGAAGGCAUUCUUCUGGGCCGAUACUGACGCUGAGACACUAAAGCGUGGGUAGCGAACAGGAUUAGAUA